Molecule: transfer RNA, 73 nt
Filed under: Caulobacteraceae bacterium
Lineage: Bacteria; Pseudomonadati; Pseudomonadota; Alphaproteobacteria; Caulobacterales; Caulobacteraceae
Description: tRNA-Lys
Rfam family: tRNA
About the family: Transfer RNA (tRNA) molecules are approximately 80 nucleotides in length. Their secondary structure includes four short double-helical elements and three loops (D, anti-codon, and T loops).
Source: RNAcentral
GGGUUCGUAGCGCAAUCGGUAGCGCAGUAGACUUUUAAUCUAUUGGUUGUGGGUUCAAGUCCCACCGGACCCA